RNAcentral lists this transfer RNA (72 nucleotides) under Loxodonta africana (African savanna elephant). It matches the Rfam family "tRNA". From Rfam's summary of the family: Transfer RNA (tRNA) molecules are approximately 80 nucleotides in length. Their secondary structure includes four short double-helical elements and three loops (D, anti-codon, and T loops). Further hydrogen bonds mediate the characteristic L-shaped molecular structure. tRNAs have two regions of fundamental functional importance: the anti-codon, which is responsible for specific mRNA codon recognition, and the 3' end, to which the tRNAs corresponding amino acid is attached (by aminoacyl-tRNA synthetases). tRNAs cope with the degeneracy of the genetic code in two manners: having more than one tRNA (with a specific anti-codon) for a particular amino acid; and 'wobble' base-pairing, i.e. permitting non-standard base-pairing at the 3rd anti-codon position. Lineage: Eukaryota; Metazoa; Chordata; Mammalia; Proboscidea; Elephantidae. The record is from Rfam by way of RNAcentral.
GCAUUGGUGGUUCAGUGGUAAAAUUCUCACUUUAUAUGCAGAGAGACUCAGCUUCCAUUCCUGGCCAGUGCA